CCGACGCUGGCCUGCGGCGUCUGUUUGUGCAGAGCGAGGCCCCGCCGGCCGGGCUUGACGUCAGGCUGGCAGGGCCUGGAACGGCCCCGCAUCGCGGCCCCCUGGGGGCAGGACGACACCGCUGGGGGCCGAGGGCAGGGCACGCCUUCGGAAUCCGGCUUCGAAGCCGGCCGCCUGACCUGGGGCAAGUGCUUUCAACUCUCUGAACUUCGGUUCCUCAUCUGCCAGUUGGCAGACGCUCAGCAAAUCUUCCUAGACUCACGGGGCGAAUUGUACAGUUGGGUAAAUCGAGGCCCAGAGAUGGCAAAAGGACCGUCCAAGGUCGUACAGCCACCCGGAAUUACAAUUCUUUUCUGCCGGGUCACACGCUGUCAUCCACGUGUUACCUAAGAGAGCUUUCCAGCCUGUGCUAAGAAAACUGCCCCACAUCAUCUGCAGUAGGACGGGGGAGUUGGAGCCCUGGUCAGGCCACUCUGCUACUGACCACAGUUUUCUCAUCUCUAAAAAGGCGCAGUAACAAUAUAAUUACCGUAUGCAGUCCCCCAGGAUACAGGGUCAAAGGAGAGCACAACCAUCGCAGUUGGAAGCCCAUGGGGCAGCCCAGUGCAGAUGCAUCUGACUUACGAAACUUCAGUGACACCUGCUCUGUGCCAGACACUGAAGAUGGAGCAGUGAACAGCACUGACCCAGCCUGUCCUCCUGUUGCCUGCAGGCCAGAAGCAAGGUCUCGCUGUGUUACCCUGGCUGGAGUGCAGUGGCUACUUACAGGCAUGAUCAUAGCAUACUGCAGCCUCGAACUCCUGGACUAGAGCAGUUCUCCUGCCUCAGCCUCCAGAGCAGCUGGGACUGCAGACACGCACCACAGAGCCCAGCCUGAGUCAUUUUGAUUCUGUAACUGGCUUCCUCUCGGCGGGCAGGCUCACACCCUCCACCCCCAGCUGGAGAUGGAAGGAGGAUGCUCACCGCCCAUUCCUCAUGCAGGCCAUCGAUGGAAAUGUCAGACAGUGCGAGUCCACGCCUGAACACUUCUGGGGUCCGCUCUGGGACUGACACUGGCAGAUCCAUCGGUGAGCUCCCGCCUGCCACCUCUGGGCCUGCAUUGCGGUGAUAGGGCCAAGGGCCUGGGCCUUCAAUUCUCCAGACUUGCCAAAAUGCUCAGCGCAGGCCUCGUCGGCAACUGCAGACAAGCAGAGGCAGCACCUGGGCUCUGCCUGUGCCUGGCACAGUGAAGCGAGGGUGGGGGCAGGAAUGAGGGUCCUCUCCAUGCAAGGGGGGAAGAUAGAAGAACAAAAUUUCACCCUAAUGUAGUGUCUUUAGACCGUGCAAUGUUGUGCUCCUGUUAGUCUGAUAUCAGGGGCUUGCAGCCUGGCAAAGGAAAAAAAACAGGCUGAGGCACAUGAUAGAAGACAGGCAGGGAUGCCACAAUCAUAACCAUGGCAAAGACCAGGAUCAGAAAGGCCCACCAUCUCUGACCCCAAAUCCCUGGGCAGAUGGUUCCAGAACUCAGAAUUUUCCCAGUUGUAGAAAGAUGGGGCCAGGUGCAGUGGCUCACGCCUGUAAUCCCAGCAUUUUGGGAGUACAAGGUGGGCGGAUCACCUGAGGUCAGGAGUUCGAGACCAGCCUGGCCAACAUGGUGAAACCCUGUCUCUACUAAAAAAAAAAAAAAAAAUUAGCCGGGCGUGGCGAUGCAUGCCUGUAAUCCCAGCUACUCGGGAGGCUGAGCCAGGAGAAUUGCUUGAACCCGGGAGGCGGAGGUUGCAGUGAGCCAAGAUCGCGCCACUACACUCCAGUCCGGGCGACAGAGCAAGAGUCCAUUCCCCCACCACCAAAAAAAAAAAAAAAAGAAAGAAAGAUGAUGUGAUACAUAUCACAUAUUUCCUAACACCCCCAACCAAACACAUUUAUGCAUAUGCAUAAAGCAGACGAGGAAAGAUUCUAAAUAGGCUCUGAAUCUCAGUUUUCUCAUCUCUACAAUGGGGCAGUGAUGGCAUGCACCUCCCAGGGCUGUUCUGAGAAUCUGAUGCCUCCCAUUGCACUGGUGAGCCUGGCACAGGCACAGGUCCCACCCCAGGCCCUUUGAACUGGCUGUUCCUUUGGCCUGGAACAUUCCUCCCCAGAUACCUCCUGAGAGGGCUCCCUCACUUCCUUCAAGGCACUGCUCAAAUGCUACCUCUUCACAGAGGCUUUCCCUGACCACCCCGUCUCUUUCCUCUUCCUGCAUAGCCUCUGUCACCUGACAUUUUAUGUCAUAAAUUACUCAUUUAUUAAUUUCCUGCUCUCCCACAGUGGCACCCGAGCUCUGUGAGGGCAAGACUUUGUUCGGUUGUGGGCUAUGCCCCCAACCCCUCGGACAGUGCCUGCACAGGUGGACAUUUUUGUUGGAUGAAGGAUUUUCUGUUAAAUGUGUCUGGCACACACAGAAAAACAAAGCCCAGCAGGUACGAUGGUGAUUAUUAUUGUUACUGGUGGCGCUCUAUUAUUGUUAUUAGUGUCUGUUGAAAAAGACCCUGAGCUAUACCAGCCCUUGGUUCUCCAGCCUGUGAAAUGGGCAUCCUGGGCACUGAGGCACUAGCCUUGGGAAGCUGAUAGGGGGUCCCUGCAGGAGAGACAAAGAACACUGCCCACCCCCCCGGGGGAGCCUGCGCCCCUCACCGGAAAGAGAAGCAGGGGGGAGCAGAGGGAGCUUGCAGCCCCACACGCAGGGCUGCCAGAAGGCCAUACAUAAUUCAUUGCCAAAUGGGGCUGCGGGCGGCUCUCCGCGGCGUGCGCUGGGGGCUCACUCUGCGCCUGGCACUUCGCUGACUGCGCCUCACACGUUGCCUCAUUGCAUCUUCAUGGAUUUGCAGGGUGUGACCCUUCCCCCUGUUUUACCCAGGGGGAUCCUGAGGCUCAGAGGAUGGGGCCACCGUGCUAGUCACACAGCCUCUCUGUGGCCAAGCUGGGCCUCGGGCCAGCAGAUUCGGCCCCCAGCGGCCCCCAUUCACUGCCUCUCUGCUGAGGGAAAAGACGGGCCUGGGGAGCGGGUGGGAGGCACAAAGGAGACCCCGCUCUGAGACAGGCUGCAGAAGAGGGAGCUGGGUCUCAGCAGGGCUGGGGAAGGCUCUGGCCCCAGCCCUCCGCCCAACCCCCUGCCCUCCUCUCCUGGAGGAGAUGCUCCCCAAAUUAGCCAUCAUGAGCGCUGGCUCUGGGGGUUGGGCGUUGGGGAGCAGUUUGCUCAGCUGUAAAAUGGGAAUAACAGAAGCCGUCCCUGGGACUAUGAGAUCAAGGUGCUCAAGAAAAGUGGUGUCUGCUGAGGGGAAAAGCCAGUCCCAAAAGGUUGCAUACUCUCAUUCUGUUUAUUUGUUUUUGUUUUUGAGACAGGGUCUCGCCCUGUCACCCAGGCUGGAGUACAGUGGCGCAAUAUGGGCUCACUGCAACCUCCACCUCCUGGGCUCAAGUGAUCCUCCCAUCUCAGACCCUCAAGGAGCUGGGGCUACAGGCACGUGCCACCGUGUCCGGCUAAUUUUUGUAUUUUUUGUAGAGACAGGGUUUCACCAUGUUGCCCAGGCUGGUCUCAAACUCCUGAGCUCAGGUGAUCCGCCUGCCUUGGCCUGCGAUAAAAUUGCACAGAAGUAAAUACACACACGUGAGGAUACGGAAAACCGGGGAAACCUGAGCAAGAGCAGUCAGACCCCGGCUGUGAUGGCGCCCAGUAGUUCUGCGAGAUGUUACCAUUGGGGAAACUGAGUGAAGGCGGGUACCUGGGAUCCCUCUGUUUUCUUUUUUGUUGUUGUUGUUAUUUUGAGAUGAAGUUUCCCUCUUGUUGCCCAGGCUGGGUGAUCCACCUGCCUCGGCCUCCCAAAGUGCUGGGAUUACACGCGUGAGCCACUGUGCCCAGCCUCUCUGUUUUAUUUCUUCUUUUUUUUUUUUUUU
RNAcentral lists this long non-coding RNA (3912 nucleotides) under Homo sapiens (human). Its description in RNAcentral is "non-protein coding LINC00963:7". Lineage: Eukaryota; Metazoa; Chordata; Mammalia; Primates; Hominidae. The record is from RNAcentral.